RNAcentral lists this ribosomal RNA (360 nucleotides) under uncultured bacterium. RNAcentral describes it as "partial 16S ribosomal RNA". It matches the Rfam family "Bacterial small subunit ribosomal RNA", at positions 355 to 732 of the family's 1533-position model. The record is from RNAcentral.
UGGGGAAUCUUAGACAAUGGGGGAAACCCUGAUCUAGCCAUGCCGCGUGAGCGAUGAAGGCCUUAGGGUUGUAAAGCUCUUUCAGCUGGGAAGAUAAUGACGGUACCAGCAGAAGAAGCCCCGGCUAACUCCGUGCCAGCAGCCGCGGUAAUACGGAGGGGGCUAGCGUUGUUCGGAAUUACUGGGCGUAAAGCGCACGUAGGCGGAUUAGUCAGUCAGAGGUGAAAUCCCAGGGCUCAACCCUGGAACUGCCUUUGAUACUGCUAGUCUUGAGGUCGAGAGAGGUGAGUGGAAUUCCGAGUGUAGAGGUGAAAUUCGUAGAUAUUCGGAGGAACACCAGUGGCGAAGGCGGCCCUGCAA